Long non-coding RNA from Poecilia latipinna (sailfin molly), 964 nucleotides. RefSeq lists it as uncharacterized. The transcript has 3 exons. The record is from RefSeq and is a predicted model, not a curated record. NCBI's taxonomy places the organism in Eukaryota, Metazoa, Chordata, Actinopteri, Cyprinodontiformes, Poeciliidae.
AAUUUUUUUGUUUUUUACUGAUUUUAUCUCCUUCUUUCACCCAAGUAUUCUUAUUUUAAGACAUUUCCCACAUUUUCACCGGUGUGAAAAGCGGCAUUCGCAGACAGAGUUUAAAAACCAGUAGCUGCUGGUUUGACGCCACUGACAGAAGCUGCAGCCUCGUUUCCAGAUGUUCCCCUCUGCGCUCCUCAGACACAGCAGUAAUUCAGCUGGUAGGGAUGUUUACCAUUUGGAGGAAUUUACAGUUUUUGGUAACGUGAAAGGAAGCCCUCAGCGCCAGUAGAUGCACAAACUAUACUCUGUUUUAUGGCACCAACGCAUUUCUGCCUGCAGAAACAAACUUAAAUGCUUCAACAUGCUAGCGCAAACCAUUCAGAUUAAGGGCUUCCAGGCAUUACAGCGUCAGUACAGUACACAGAGUGUUACAGUGUCGUGCUUGGACUGCGGUCACACUGCAGCGGCAACGUGACCACCUGCGACACCUUAUCGAGUCUGAGAGCACACAAAGUCAUCUUUUAGGUGAAAAAUGUGGGUCAGUGAGACCUGAGGACCAUUCAGAUUCAUGAAUCAGCAGAUGAGUGAAAUUCAACCCGAAUGCUGCCUGGGUUACAGCCUGAACUGUUACAAACGUGACUUAAGUUUUGGGUGAUUUUUUUCUGAUUCUGUUCAGAAAUCAAGUCUUAAAAAAUUGGAGCCAAACUGGUAACAUGGAGUGAAAACUGUUUCAUCCAGUUUUUACUCCAUGUUGUUUUUAUUUUUAAGCAGUUAUAAGAUUUCUGAAAAAGGCCCAAAAUCUGGUUGACAGAUUCAGACAUGAACUUUCAUAGCAGGAUAAAGAUGGUUACAAAGCCAGCCUUUUAUCACCUGAAGAACAUUUCCAGAAUUAGAGGUCUAAUGCCUCAGCACGUCCUGGACAAACUUGUUCAUGCGUUUAUCUUUAGUCACAUUGAUUACUGAACAGUUU